This 119-nucleotide ribosomal RNA is filed under the name Heterocephalus glaber (naked mole-rat). Lineage: Eukaryota; Metazoa; Chordata; Mammalia; Rodentia; Bathyergidae. The record is from RNAcentral.
GUCUAUGGCCAUACCACCCUGAACACACCCAAUCUCAUCUGAUCUCAUAAGCUAAGCAGGGUUGGGCCUGGUUAGUACUUGGAUGGGAAACAUUCAGCAGAAAAGUGUAACCAAAGAUA